UGCGUAUAUUUCACGAGGAGCGUAACGA
This 28-nucleotide non-coding RNA is filed under the name Bombyx mori (domestic silkworm). Lineage: Eukaryota; Metazoa; Arthropoda; Insecta; Lepidoptera; Bombycidae. The record is from RNAcentral.